AACGAACGCUGGCGGCAUGCCUAACACAUGCAAGUCGAACGAGACCUUCGGGUCUAGUGGCGCACGGGUGCGUAACGCGUGGGAACCUUCCCUUAGGGUCGGAAUAACUCCCCGAAAGGGGUGCUAAUACCGGAUAAUGUCUUCGGACCAAAGAUUUAUCGCCUUUGGAUGGGCCCGCGUUGGAUUAGCUAGUUGGUAGGGUAAAAGCCUACCAAGGCGACGAUCCAUAGCUGGUCUGAGAGGAUGAUCAGCCACACUGGGACUGGGACACGGCCCAGACUCCUGCGGGAGGCAGCAGUGGGGAAUAUUGGACAAUGGGCGAAAGCCUGAUCCAGCAAUGCCGCGUGAGUGAUGAAGGACUUAGGGUUGUAAAGCUCUUUUAACCGGGAUGAUAAUGACAGUACCGGGAGAAUAAGCUCCGGCUAACUCCGUG
This 433-nucleotide ribosomal RNA is filed under the name uncultured bacterium. Its description in RNAcentral is "partial 16S ribosomal RNA". It matches the Rfam family "Bacterial small subunit ribosomal RNA", at positions 29 to 507 of the family's 1533-position model. The record is from RNAcentral.